GUGGGGAAUCUUCCGCAAUGGACGAAAGUCUGACGGAGCGACGCCGCGUGAGUGAAGAAGGCCUUCGGGUCGUAAAGCUCUGUCAUCAGGGACGAACGGCCGGUGGAGUGGAAAGCCACCGGAUUGACGGUACCUGAGAAGGAAGCCACGGCUAACUACGUGCCAGCAGCCGCGGUAAUACGUAGGUGGCAAGCGUUGUCCGGAAUUAUUGGGCGUAAAGCGCGCGCAGGUGGGAUCUUAAGUCCAUUUUUAAAGUUCGGAGCUCAACUCCGUGAUGGGAUGGAAACUGGGAUUCUUGAGUACCGGAGAGGAAAGCGGAAUUCCCCGUGUAGCGGUGAAAUGCGUAGAUAUGGGGAGGAACACCAGUGGCGAAGGCGGCUUUCUGGACGGUGUCUGACACUGAGGCGCGAAAGCCAGGGGAGCGAACGGGAUUAGAUACCCCGGUAGUCC
Molecule: ribosomal RNA, 450 nt
Filed under: uncultured bacterium
Lineage: Bacteria
Description: partial 16S ribosomal RNA
Rfam family: Bacterial small subunit ribosomal RNA
Source: RNAcentral